CUACACAAUCUGUACCCCUCAAUACCUACCGCCCAGUCAUGAGUAGAUCCCACCAUGUUUCUGUUAAGCUGACUAGGUCAUACUGGGUGCUAGCAAAUAAGAAUGUGAGCUCCUCCCGCUUAUUCCCCAUGCUCCUGGCAUUUGUAUAGACAUUUUUGU
Gavialis gangeticus (Gharial) is the source of this 159-nucleotide long non-coding RNA. RefSeq lists it as uncharacterized. The transcript is spliced from 3 exons. The record is from RefSeq and is a predicted model, not a curated record. Lineage: Eukaryota; Metazoa; Chordata; Crocodylia; Gavialidae.